UUUUAAAAUAAGGUUGUCUAAUCAUGACUCUGCAUUACGUUUACAGCACUGCAACAGCAAGCUUACACACAUCAGAACCAUGGCUAAUGCAGUCACCAUUGAAUACUGUAAAGGAUGAAGUUAUGCGUUCCGCUACCAGGAGCUGGCCGGUGAGCUCCGGCAGGUUCCCGGUGUGCAGGUGACGGGAGUCAAAGGGAGGCCAAACAGCUUUGAGGUGUCAGUAAAUGAUCAGCUGAUCUUCUCCAAGCUUGAGACAGGAACGUUUCCUGUUCCUGAAGAGGUGGUGAAGAUGGUGAAGCAGAUAGUUAAUGGAGGAAAAGUGGAGAAACCUUCAAAGCUGAAGCACUGGAAGAACAAAUGCUCUCACCAUUAGAAGAUAACAGCUGUAUUCACACUGCAAGAACUAUGGUUUGUUUUCUGUGGCUUAAACUGCAUUCUGUCACACCUGCUUAUCUGAAAACAAAAUUGAAUUCAAACAUUGAAAUAUGACAUCCAAAAUCAAAAUAUAAAAUAAUAAAAUGUCAGUCAGCCACGAGAAGAUGAAAACAUAUCUCGUCUUCACUGUGAAUACAGUCAAAGACAAGAAUAUGAUGAGAGCAACUCUGAGGAGCCAGGCACUGAUCUGCUCUUCUGUUUAUGAAUGUACACACUGAAACUCAUGUAGUGUGUGCACGAAGUCUAGAAGCUUUUCAGCCGACUGGGGUCUGGGGUACUGCUCCCAUCAUGUCUGUCUACCAUACUCCAUAAUAAAUAAAACAUUUCUACAGGUGCAUUUAUUCAGGAAUGGAAAACCAAAAGUUUCAGGUCUGUGACGUGAUUGUGCACAAAUUAAAAUUUUGGGAAAAUCCUGGAAUUUGCACUACCACUACCACAAGAAACAGUCCAGCCCAUAACCCCAUUUUACUUUUUGUACGGACCAAAGAAACAAGAUAAAACACAUUAAGCUGGUACGUGAGUUCUGUAACCUUCAGAAAGGGCCGGGCUCGCUGUUUCCAGUCUUUGCGCUAAGCUGAGCUAACCAGCCGGCUGUAGCUUCAUAUUUACGGUACGAAUAUAGAAAGGUAUCAUUCUUCUCGUUUAACUCUGGCAAGAAAGCGAGGUAGCAUAUUUCCAAAAAUAUCAAACUAUUAUUUUAAUCCUAUUGUGGUCAGAGAUAAUGUGUGGUUUGGCUAUUUUUGGUCAGAUACGUAGAGUGUUUCUUUUUAAAUGUUGGACGUUUUAAACUGGCACCAGCAUUGAUAUUGAGUAUGAGAUAUUUACUUGUAACAUAUAUUUAAAAAAAAACUCACUGUAUUGUUAUAGGCCUUCUGUCAACUAAUUUGUUUCAACAAAAAAACAUUUUCCUGAAAUGCAAUAAAAUAUCCCUGAAAAACCAA
This is a long non-coding RNA of Morone saxatilis (striped sea-bass), 1376 nucleotides long. RefSeq lists it as uncharacterized. The record is from RefSeq and is a predicted model, not a curated record. Lineage: Eukaryota; Metazoa; Chordata; Actinopteri; Moronidae. The transcript is spliced from 4 exons.